CUGCGGCUAAUGAAGCUCUCUUAUUUCAUGGGCACCUGGUAUGCAAUGGCUGCAAACAGCAGCCUCCUUGGUAAAGUAUGCAACCCGUUGCUUGUAUGGGUUGUCCUAAGGGACCUCAGAGACAAUA
Small nucleolar RNA from Ochotona princeps (American pika), 127 nucleotides. Its record names the gene SNORA70. It matches the Rfam family "Small nucleolar RNA SNORA70". From Rfam's summary of the family: snoRNA U70 seems to be exclusive to mammals and is a member of the H/ACA class of snoRNA which contain H (ANANNA) and ACA box motifs. H/ACA box snoRNAs are involved in the conversion of uridines to pseudouridines (5-ribosyluracil) a constituent of structural RNAs (transfer, ribosomal, small nuclear, and small nucleolar). The record is from Ensembl. NCBI's taxonomy places the organism in Eukaryota, Metazoa, Chordata, Mammalia, Lagomorpha, Ochotonidae.